AGGACAAACGCUGGCGGCGUACCUAAGACAUGCAAGUCGAACGGACUGCAGGUUUUCGGAUUUGCAGUGAGAGGCGAACGGGUGAGUAACGCGUAGGAACCCGCCUCGACGUGGGGGAUAACACUUGGAAACAGGUGCUAAUACCGCAUGUGGUCGGAAGAAGAAAGGCUUGAGGAAUCAAGUCGCGUUGAGAGGGGCCUGCGUUCGAUUAGCUAGUUGGUGGGUAAAGCCUACCAAGGCGACGAUCGGUAGC
RNAcentral lists this ribosomal RNA (253 nucleotides) under uncultured bacterium. RNAcentral's name for it is "partial small subunit ribosomal RNA". It matches the Rfam family "Bacterial small subunit ribosomal RNA", at positions 26 to 287 of the family's 1533-position model. The record is from RNAcentral.